This 1437-nucleotide unclassified non-coding RNA is filed under the name Hevea brasiliensis (rubber tree). The record is from RNAcentral. Lineage: Eukaryota; Viridiplantae; Streptophyta; Magnoliopsida; Malpighiales; Euphorbiaceae.
GGUAAGUAUCAUGUUACAGCAAACAAACAACAAAUCCCAUUAUACCAAACAUACUUCGAAUGCACUAUUGAUGUGAGACUUGAAUUGUUAACAACUUCACUUCAUGGAUUCCACCAAGUUAAUAAUUCAGCUAUCCUAUCGAGUUCACACUAAAAUCUAUGAAAUUUGCAAGAAACCAAAAAUACCUUCCUAUUAUGGUCUAGUUUCAAGAUUAGGAAUGACAAAUAAAAAGGUUCCCUCCCUAACCCGUAUAUAUAACAAUAUGAAAGAUGUCGUCAUGCAUAAUAAACACAUGGCAUUUUCUCCUCAUAUUUAGGACUCAAUUUGAAGAAGGCUUACAAUGUGCAAGAAUAAGAUCCAAUACAAGCACAUGAUGAAAAUAUUAUGAACUCCAUUUUUCUUAAUUUUCUCGUCACCCUAUUUUGCUCUGCUACACCCAGUCAGAAGGUUUGGGUACGAAAAAAUCAAGAACCUACUUUUUCAACAAACCAGCAAGCUCACCCUUUUCAUCCAUGGAAGUUAAGAUAUCACAUCCUCCUAUCAACUCCCCAUUGACAAAAAUUUGUGGGAACGUAGGCCAGUUGCUAUACUUCUUCAAUGUCUCCCUCAAUCCAUAAUUAUAUUCUUCAUCCAGCACGUCUACGCUUUCAUAAUCUAUUCCUUGGCUUUCAAGAAUGCCGAUUACCCUUUGAGAGAAUCCACACAAUGGGGCACUUCGUGAUCCCUUGAUAAAGGCCACCACCCUGUUCUCCUUGACUAAUUUCCCAAUAAGCUCCUCCAGUGGAACUGUUAGCUGGACAUGACGGCCAGGUGUAAGUCGGAGAUCAGGCUUCUUCUUUGGUGGUUGCCUGAUCCACGUAGCAUUCCCUGAUUGAUUGCCUGGUGGAACCUUUCCAGUGGUUUUUAUAUGUUCUUCCAUCCAUGAUUUCCAAGCUUGAGUAAGUGACUCUCUAUCAGGUUCAUCUACUACCCCAAACUUAACGAAGGAACAAAGGUCCGGCACCGACUUCAGGUGUGAGAAAACGCUAGCCCCAAUGUUCCGGGAGAUGCCAAUGAAUUGAAGAUCAUCGUUCUUAUCAUAAACGGCGUAAACACCCGAUUCUGACGGCAAUUUUUUAGAGAACUCAUCAGCUGUUAAAGGUACCGCUACUAAAUCCGUCUCGGCGAGGUUCUUGACGGCUGCAGCGACAAUUAGAGAACAAGGUCUAAUUGGGUUGUAGGGUUUUAAAGAAAUGGAAGGAAAGGGGAUGAAGGGCUUAGAGAGUGAAUGGAAUGAGAGGUUGGGGGUACUUUGAGGAGUAUGCGAAGAUAGUAAACGAGGAGAAAGAGAAGCUUGCACUGGAGAGAGGCUGACGGCGGCCAUGGAAAUGAAUGAGAACUGAGAAGGCGAACCUGAGACUUCACUUGAGAACAGAGGUCACAGCAGACAUGAACGGC